GCGAGCUGGGUUUAGAACGUCGUGAGACAGUUCGGUCCCUAUCUGCCGUGGGCGCAGGAUAUUUGAGGAGAUCUGUCCUUAGUACGAGAGGACCGGGAUGGACGAACCUCUAGUGUACCAGUUGUCUCGCCAGAGGCAUCGCUGGGUAGCUAUGUUCGGCAGGGAUAAGCGCUGAAAGCAUCUAAGCGCGAAGCCCACUCCAAGAUAAGAUAUCCCGUGGGUUAACCCACCUGAAGGCUCCUUGUAGACUACGAGGUCGAUAGGUCGCAGGUGUAAGCGCAGCAAUGCGUUCAGCCGAGCGAUACUAAUCAGCCGUGCGGCUUGAUCAA
RNAcentral lists this ribosomal RNA (329 nucleotides) under Gemmatimonadota bacterium. RNAcentral's name for it is "partial 23S ribosomal RNA". It matches the Rfam family "Bacterial large subunit ribosomal RNA", at positions 2600 to 2925 of the family's 2925-position model. The record is from RNAcentral. Lineage: Bacteria; Pseudomonadati; Gemmatimonadota.